This 438-nucleotide ribosomal RNA is filed under the name uncultured bacterium. RNAcentral describes it as "partial 16S ribosomal RNA". It matches the Rfam family "Bacterial small subunit ribosomal RNA", at positions 339 to 795 of the family's 1533-position model. The record is from RNAcentral.
CUACGGGUGGCAGCAGUGAGGAAUAUUGCACAAUGGGGGGAACCCUGAUGCAGCAACGCCGCGUGGAGGAUGACGCAUUUCGGUGUGUAAACUCCUUUUAUAUGUCAAGAAAAUGACGGUAGCAUAUGAAUAAACACCGGCUAACUCCGUGCCAGCAGCCGCGGUAAUACGGAGGGUGCAAGCGUUACUCGGAAUCACUGGGCGUAAAGGACGCGUAGGCGGGUUGGAAAGUCAGGUGUGAAAUCCUACAGCUUAACUGUAGAACUGCACUUGAAACUUCUAAUCUAGAGUAUGGGAGGGGAGAUGGAAUUAGUGGUGUAGGGGUAAAAUCCGUAGAUAUCACUAGGAAUACCUAAAGCGAAGGCGAUCUCCUGGAACAUUACUGACGCUAAGGCGUGAAAGCGUGGGGAGUAAACAGGAUUAGAUACCCCGGUAGUC